ACGCUCGACACCUACGGGAGGUAGCAGUUGGGAAUAUUGGACAAUGGAGGAAACUCUGAUCCAGUGACGCCGCGUGAAGGAAGAAGGUCUUCGGAUUGUAAACUUAUUUUGUCAGGGAAGAAAAAUGACUGUACCUGAAGAAAAAGCACCGGCUAACUACGUGCCGNAGCGCGGUAAGUUACUUGAGGCGGGGCGUGGCGAAACGGGACGC
This 211-nucleotide ribosomal RNA is filed under the name uncultured bacterium. RNAcentral's name for it is "partial 16S ribosomal RNA". It matches the Rfam family "Bacterial small subunit ribosomal RNA", at positions 328 to 544 of the family's 1533-position model. The record is from RNAcentral.